AAGAUUUUUAUUUAUUUCAUGUAUAUGAGUAUCCUGUAGCUGUCUUCAGACUAGAAGAGGGCAUUGGAUCCCAUUACAGAAGGUUAUGAGCCACCAUGUGGUUGCUGGGAUUUGAACUCAGGACCUCUGGAAGAGCAGUCGGUGCUUUUAACCGCUGAGAAUCUGCAUUUCUUAGGGAGAUUGGUGGGCUGGGGAGAGGUUAUGGUUCAGUUCUGAGUUCCUAGCAUAUAUUUUAUACUCAUUCUUCUUUUUUUUUUUCCUUUUUUUUUUUUUUUUUUAGGACUGGAUUUCUUUGUGUUUGUCUGCCUUGGAACUCACUCUAGACCAGGCUGUCUUGGAAUUCAUAGAGAUCCUCCUGCCUCUGAGUGCUGGGAUUAAUGCCAUGCUACAUCAUUGACUGGUUGAGGGUUCUUUUUAAAUUCAACUCAAGCAUUUACUUUUCCAUGAUGCAAGGCAUUAUUUUACUUUUUACAUUUUGGUUAGUAUACAUUCAUACUGUAUGCUAGGUUACUAUACACUCAUAGUGUAUGCUAGGUUACUAUACACUCAUAGUGUAUGCUAGGUUACUAUACACUCAUAGUGUCUGCUAGGUUACUAUACACUCAUAGUGUAUGCUAGGUUACUAUACACUCAUAGUGUAUGCUAGGUUACUAUACACUCAUAGUGUAUGCUAGGUUACUAUACACUCAUAGUGUAUGCUAGGUUACUAUACACUCAUAGUGUAUGCUAGGUUACUAUACACUCAGUGUAUGCUAGGUUACUAUACACUCAUAGUGUAUGCUAGGUUACUAUACACUCAUAGUGUAUGCUACUGGGCUGUACGGACAUUCUCACACAAGUAUAGAAAGUACUUUGAGCACAUUAUCCCUCCAGAAC
Molecule: long non-coding RNA, 876 nt
Filed under: Mus musculus (house mouse)
Lineage: Eukaryota; Metazoa; Chordata; Mammalia; Rodentia; Muridae
Description: predicted gene 15963
Source: RNAcentral